Molecule: ribosomal RNA, 253 nt
Filed under: uncultured bacterium
Lineage: Bacteria
Description: partial 16S ribosomal RNA
Rfam family: Bacterial small subunit ribosomal RNA
Source: RNAcentral
UACGGAGGGUGCGAGCGUUAAUCGGAAUUACUGGGCGUAAAGCGUGCGUAGACGGUCGUGCAAGUCGGGUGUGAAAGCCCCAGGCUCAACCUGGGAAUUGCAUUCGAGACUGCUCGGCUAGGGUGCGGAAGAGGGAAGCGGAAUUUCCGGUGUAGCGGUGAAAUGCGUAGAUAUCGGAAGGAACACCAGUGGCGAAAGCGGCUUCCUGGUCCGACACCGACGUUCAGGCACGAAAGCGUGGGGAGCAAACAGG